RNAcentral lists this ribosomal RNA (114 nucleotides) under Streptococcus vestibularis. Lineage: Bacteria; Bacillati; Bacillota; Bacilli; Lactobacillales; Streptococcaceae. The record is from RNAcentral.
AGUGACGAUAGCCUAGGAGAUACACCUGUUCCCAUGCCGAACACAGAAGUUAAGCCCUAGUACGCCUGAUGUAGUUGGGGGUUGCCCCCUGUUAGAUACGGUAGUUGCUUAGCC